UUAAAAUAAUUAUGAUUUUUAAAAAUUGACCACUUUAAAGAAGUUCACUUCCAGAACAAGAAUUUACUCACUGCUUUGUCAUUCAAGAUUUCUUCAGUCGUAAAGAAAUUAUGUUUUUUGAGGAAAACAUAAGGAUUUCUCUCCAUGUAAUGGACUCAUAUGGUGCCCGUGAGUUUGAACUUGAGUUUGAAUUUGAGUUUGAACCAAAAUGCAGUUUCAAUGCAGCUUCAAAGGACUCUACAUGAUCCCUGCCAAGAAAGAAGGAUCUUAUCUAGCAAAACGAUCAGUUAUUUUCUAAAAAAAAAUUUUUUAAUACAGUUCGGGUAUGUUGAAAAACUCCCAACUCAUUUUCUCCUCCAACUCUAAAAAUCGCCCUACAUCGCUGCAGAAGUACCGACCCAGUGUUUACAAAGUGAACGUGCAAAGAAGGUCAAACGCCCUUUACAAAAAAAAGGUAAAACAGUGAUGAUUUUGAAUUUGGAGAAGGAAAUGAGAUGGGGGUUUUUCGACAUACCCUAUCUGUAUUGGCCCAGAGGUGGGUCAUGCACAUUGCAGAGCUAGACAAGACGAGCACUUGAGGUUAAAAAGUAUAUAAAUUGUACAUUUUUUUAGAAAAUAACUUAUAUAUAUAUAAAACCCUUCUUUCUUUAGAGCCCUUUGAACCUGCAUUUAAACUGCAUUUUGGAAGUUCAAACUCAUGGGCACCAUAGAAGUCCACUAUAUAGAGAACAUUCUGAAAUGUUUUCCCUCAAAAAAAAAGUAAAAAAGUAAUUCUUUACUUUUUCUGUGCCUUGACCUAGGUAGGACCCUUUCUGUCUUACAGGGUUGGAACGACAUGAGAGCGAGUAGUUAAUAAAACUAAAUUCAUUUUUGGGUGAACUAUCCCUUUAAAACAUUUGAGGUACGUUGUUAGGCCUGUAGGAGUUGCAUAUGGGCCUACUGUAAGUGCAGGCAGAUUGUGAUGACUCUGGCACAGUGCCAUAUUGAAUCUGUCUCAACAGAGACAGUAUAAUGAGCACAGACACCACAGACAUGCCCUGCCAAAACAGCCACACAUACCAGCACAGCUCCUCAUUCAACAGGAUCGCUGAACUAUGCCGUCUUUCUAAGAGAUUGAUCAGAUUCCUGCCCGUAAACUGGAUGAACACUGCACGUUCUGUCUAAA
Labeo rohita (rohu) is the source of this 1165-nucleotide long non-coding RNA. RefSeq lists it as uncharacterized. The record is from RefSeq and is a predicted model, not a curated record. NCBI's taxonomy places the organism in Eukaryota, Metazoa, Chordata, Actinopteri, Cypriniformes, Cyprinidae. The transcript is spliced from 2 exons.